UACAUGGGGUGCAAACGUUGCUCGGAAUUAUUGGGCGUAAAGAGCGUGUAGGCGGCCAUACAGGUCAGCUGUGAAAACUCGAGGCUCAACCUCGAGACGUCGGUUGAAACCGUAUGGCUAGAGUCCGGAAGAGGAGAGUGGAAUUCCCGGUGUAGCGGUGAAAUGCGCAGAUAUCGGGAAGAACACCCGUGGCGAAGGCGGCUCUCUGGGACGGUACUGACGCUGAGACGCGAAAGCGUGGGGAGCGAACAGG
RNAcentral lists this ribosomal RNA (253 nucleotides) under uncultured bacterium. Its description in RNAcentral is "partial 16S ribosomal RNA". It matches the Rfam family "Bacterial small subunit ribosomal RNA", at positions 524 to 776 of the family's 1533-position model. The record is from RNAcentral.